GGUUAAGCGACUAAGCGUACACGGUGGAUGCCCUGGCAGUCAGAGGCGAUGAAGGACGUGCUAAUCUGCGAUAAGCGUCGGUAAGGUGAUAUGAACCGUUAUAACCGGCGAUUUCCGAAUGGGGAAACCCAGUGUGAUUCGUCACACUAUCAUUAACUGAAUCCAUAGGUUAAUGAGGCGAACCGGGGGAACUGAA
RNAcentral lists this ribosomal RNA (196 nucleotides) under Escherichia coli. RNAcentral's name for it is "partial 23S ribosomal RNA". It matches the Rfam family "Bacterial large subunit ribosomal RNA", at positions 1 to 197 of the family's 2925-position model. Lineage: Bacteria; Pseudomonadati; Pseudomonadota; Gammaproteobacteria; Enterobacterales; Enterobacteriaceae. The record is from RNAcentral.